AUUGAACGCUGGCGGCAUGCCUUACACAUGCAAGUCGAACGGUAACAGGUUAAGCUGACGAGUGGCGAACGGGUGAGUAAUGUAUCGGAACGUGCCCAGUCGUGUGGGAUAACUGCUCGAAAGAGCAGCUAAUACCGCAUACGACCUGAGGGUGAAAGCGGGGGCUCGCAAGACCUCGCGCGAUUGGAGCGGCCGAUAUCAGAUUAGGUAGUUGGUGAGGUAAAGGCUCACCAAGCCGACGAUCUGUAGCUGGUCUGAGAGGACGACCAGCCACACUGGGACUGAGACACGGCCCAGACUCCUACGGGAGGCAGCAGUGGGGAAUUUUGGACAAUGGGCGCAAGCCUGAUCCAGCCAUGCCGCGUGCGGGAAGAAGGCCUUCGGGUUGUAAACCGCUUUUGUCAGGGAAGAAAAGGUUCUGGCUAAUACCUGGGACUCAUGACGGUACCUGAAGAAUAAGCACCGGCUAACUACGUG
This 477-nucleotide ribosomal RNA is filed under the name uncultured bacterium. RNAcentral's name for it is "partial 16S ribosomal RNA". It matches the Rfam family "Bacterial small subunit ribosomal RNA", at positions 30 to 507 of the family's 1533-position model. The record is from RNAcentral.